RNAcentral lists this ribosomal RNA (97 nucleotides) under uncultured bacterium. Its description in RNAcentral is "partial 16S ribosomal RNA". The record is from RNAcentral.
CACACCGCCCGUCACACCAUGGAAGUCUGCUGCACCAGAAGUAGGUAGUCUAACCGCAAGGAGGGCGAUUACCACGGCAGGGUUCGUGACUGGGGUG